GCCUGAAAUCUAGCCUUAAAUUUUACCCGCAUGACCUCCUAAUCCUACUGCUUACAAACAAAACAUUUUAACAUUUUAGUACAGGCGAUCAAAAAAUUUCUAAGCGCUUCAGAUGUAGUACCGCAAGGGAACGAUGAAAUAAAAAUGAAAUAGUUUUAAAGCCAAAAACAGCAGAGAUUAACUCUCGUACCUUUUGCAUCAUGGUCUAGCUAGUCCCCCCAAGCAAAACGAAACUUUUAGUUUGUCACCCCGAAACUAAGCGAGCUACUUCAAAACAGCCCAAAGGGCCAACCCGUCUCUGUUGCAAAAGAGUGGGAAGAUUUUUAAGUAGAGGUGAAAAGCCUACCGAGCUUAGAGAUAGCUGGUUGUUCAGGAAAAGAGUUUUAGCUCUACCUUAAAUUUUUUAUGUGACUUAAACAUAACCCUAAAUUUAAGAGCUAUUCAAAUAAGGCACAGCUUAUUUGAAACAGGGUACAACCUCUAACACCGGGUAAAAGUGGGAGACCCUAACAAAGUGGGCCUAAAAGCAGCCACCUUCUAAAAAGCGUUAAAGCUUAACCAUUAUGUCUCCCCCCAAUUUCUAUAUACCUAUUUAACCCUUCACUACUACUGAACUAUUUUAUAUUUUUAUAAAAGCAAUUAUGCUAGAACUAGUAACAAGAAAAUGCCUUUCUCCAAAAUGUAAGCAUAAACCAAAAUGGACUUACCAUUGGUAAUUAACGUAAAUGUUUUAUUAUAGUAACAUUUAACCUAGAAAACCCUAUAAGCACCCACGUUAACCUUACACUAGCAUAUUACAGGAAAGAUUAAAAGAGAAAGAAGGAACUCGGCAAACCUUAGCCCCGCCUGUUUACCAAAAACAUCGCCUCUUGAUUAAAUAUAAGAGGUCCAGCCUGCCCAGUGACAAAGUUUAACGGCCGCGGUACCCUAACCGUGCGAAGGUAGCAUAAUCACUUGUUCUUUAAAUAGGGACUCGUAUCAACGGCAUCACGAGGGCUAUACUGUCUCCUUUCUCCAAUCAGUGAAACUGAUCUUCCCGUGAAGAAGCGGGAAUUAUUAUAUAAGACGAGAAGACCCCAUGGAGCUUUAAACUCAAUAUAUAUUUCUACGCACUUAUAUCACUAUAGCCUAAGAAAAUUAUGUAUUAGUUUUAGGUUGGGGGGACCGCGGAGAAAAAAUUAACCUCCACGACAAAUAGGCCAACGCCUUUAUCUAUGAACCACAAUUCUAAGAAUCAAUAAACUGAUGUUUAAUGAUCCAAUUUUUUGAUCAACGAACCAAGUUACCCUGGGGAUAACAGCGCAAUCUACUUCAAGAGCUCCUAUCGACAAGUGGGUUUACGACCUCGAUGUUGGAUCAGGGUAUCCUAGUGGUGCAGCCGCUACUAAAGGUUCGUUUGUUCAACGAUUAAAACCCUACGUGAUCUGAGUUCAGACCGGAGUAAUCCAGGUCGGUUUCUAUCUAUAAAGUGUUUUCCCUAGUACGAAAGGAUCGGGACAACAUGGCCAAUGCAAAAACAAGCCAUUCUCUUCACUAAUGAAUAUAUCUUAAUUAGUCUAGACCUAAUACUGCACCGCAGAUCAAGGUAG
RNAcentral lists this ribosomal RNA (1589 nucleotides) under Pelophylax cerigensis (Karpathos water frog). RNAcentral describes it as "16S ribosomal RNA". It matches the Rfam family "Bacterial large subunit ribosomal RNA", at positions 424 to 2925 of the family's 2925-position model. Lineage: Eukaryota; Metazoa; Chordata; Amphibia; Anura; Ranidae. The record is from RNAcentral.